UUCACUCUCCCCUUCAGAGAGAGAGAGUGAAAAGACUCUUGCGACAAUAGAAAAGAGAGACUCUUGCGGCAAUAGAAAACAAAACGUAGCGUAAUCUUCUGCUUCAACUGUAGGUGGCUGGCCCCGAACAUGGCAAUGUAUCAUUCAUGCACGCUGAGCAAAGAACACAUCGUUUUGCUUCUAAGAGAACAGGCCGCCGCAGUUCAAAGGAACGCGUAGCGAGCGCUCUACUUUUUCACUCGGAGUUGCUCCACCGCGCGCGCGCGCGCUCAAGAUCGCGGAACAACACAGCACCGGAGAAAGGUGAUCCCUCCGCCGAGCAGCACAGCAGCAGCAAAGGCCAGCCAAGGGAGAUCGUAUGUCAGCCAUCUCGCGUCGCCACGAAAACACGACAGUCGUUCGUCAUGCCUUGGAUAUAACAGCAAAUCCUCCACGGGACAACCCAGGACGUGCAUUUCUCAGCACCCAGUCAACUGCCAAAAGUGACUCAAACACAGGCCACCAGUGGAACUCGGCUGUACCAUUGCAGUGCUGCGGAAAUUGCCUUCACCAGCGGCUUUGCAACAGCUGUUUCGCAGCAUGUCGGAGACAAUGCCUACGAAAUUAUUGGCCCUGAUCAUGAGAGCCCUCAAGGGGCAAACAACAUCUCUGUUGCAGAAGUGAGCCCGAUACCACUUGGAAGUUACCAUGACAGAUGACACGGCAGCAAUAGAUACAGAGACUGCCAUGUCUACUGCAGCUGCAACAGUGUACGAGGCAAGCAGCAGCGCGUCAGCAUCAGCAGCAGUGUCAGAAGGAACCACACCAGGCCUGGUAGAGCAACAUGUGUGCUAUCACUGACUUUUUUUGUAGUGGAUACAACUCAUUUGCUCAACAUACAAAAGCUUUUCACCACGACUGUGAGCCAGUGUUAUUGUGCAGCAAGUGCAAGACUAAGUUAGGUGUUAUAACACAGUACAAGCAUCACUUUAUUAUAUGCAAAUGCAAACAUAUUACAGUUGUUGCCUCCCCAGCCAGCCCACAUAGUGACAACAAUGUGGAACACAUGGUGGGACACACCUCUCCCCCAUUACAAGAUAGUAGAGACUGUCAGUGUUGUUGCUAGAUUGACUGGUCUUUGUAGGCAACUAGAAGGACAACACAGGUGUCAUAAGAUUGUUGUUGAAGAGGUAAAAAAGAAGUUUGAUGCAGCUGAAGUGCCAACUGAUAUUGAGCAAAUCAAAAGCAACCACCUGAGAAAGCAACACUAUCGAAAUUUGGGUAUCUAUGUGCCGCCAACUCUGGUAAGAAUGGCAUAGGACAGAAGUGUGAUGAAAAUCACACAGACACUGCUGUUGCAUCACUGGCUACAGUGAGCAGCGACUUGUAGGGCAAGAGAGUCAACUGAAACUAACAUUAUGAUAUAGUGUCAUGCUCCCAUGUGACCACUUUUCAAGUUAUUUUGCAAGAUACAGCUCAACCUCCAGAAACGAGACUGCAACUUGUCUGUAAAAAAGCUUUCACAAAAAAUUAUUCAUAACACUAUUAACAUAGCAGUAUCUAUUUUUUUUUGUCGGUUCGAGAUUCCCGGCUGUCCAUUAAUGCAAAAAUUGAGGAAAAAAAGAACAUGUGUCGUACUUACACCUUUUUAACAAGUACGAGGGGGACAGAACUUUUCUAGUCAUGCAUCUUCAUCAUACUAUCAAGUUUUUAAAUGCCUUUUAUAAUUAUUAUCACCAGUUAUAUCUGAGUGCAUUGUAUGCAUGUAGCAGGUGUAAAAUCAGGUCAGUUGGAUCAGAUGCCUUAUCUGCAAGCGAGCCCUAUAUUCAAGAAAUUUGAAUUAAAAUAGUUACGUUAGAGACGCAGUCUUUCAGCACUUUAUUGCCUGUGGUUUAAGCAUUCCUCAAUGCUUUUGUGGGUGGCAAUUUCAACCGGCACAGCACUGCGCUUUGCCACAGUCACAUUUGUCUUCAAAGCGGUGUUUACCAUUUGUGUUGGCCUGUUUGUGUAUGCAUAGAGCAAGGUUUUAAUUUAUAUUUUUCUGCAUUCUUGUGCUUGCACUAAGCUUGUAUAAGGCAGUUACAAAAUGUGCGGCACUCUAACGAACUGUUCUGUUGAGCUUACACUUGCAAAUAAUCGUGUUCAGAUGGCCGCACUUCUAUGCGGGUGCACUGCUAGCUUUGUGUAUGUUCUCAUGUUUGUAUAAAGCUUAUAUAAGCGAGUUAGAAAAUGUAUGUCACUAAGCAUUGUGAUAUUCUUUAAAGAACUGCUUGGUUGGUUUUACACUUGUGAAUUAGUAUUGAGGCAGUGGUAUUCCCAUGUAUGCCCACUGCUAGCUUUCUGUGUCCUCACGUGUUUGUAUUAAGUUUCUACAAGGGAGUUACAGCAUGUACGUCACUAAGCACUGUGAUAUUUUUUAAAGAACUGCUUUGUUGGUUUUACACCUGUGAGUAAUAGUACUCGGGUGGCACUAGUCAUGUGUAGGUACACAGGGACCAUUUGUAUACAUUAUGCUCAUGUAAAGCAGUUACAAAGUGUAUGUCACUAAUUACUGUGAUAUUUGUUGAAUUGCUGUGAUGGUUUUACACAUGUGAAUAAUAGUGGUCAGGACACAGUACUUGCGGUGUAUAGUUGAAUUUAUACACUGCCAAGACAUGGGCUGUAUACGUACCAAAAGAAAUGUAUGUCAUUAUAUUGUUGUGAUUAUUACUGUUUGGAUUUUAUUAAACUGUAAUAAAAUUGUUUCUUGUAUCUAUUGA
Dermacentor andersoni is the source of this 2738-nucleotide long non-coding RNA. RefSeq lists it as uncharacterized. The record is from RefSeq and is a predicted model, not a curated record. NCBI's taxonomy places the organism in Eukaryota, Metazoa, Arthropoda, Arachnida, Ixodida, Ixodidae.